GACGAACGCUGGCGGCGUGCUUAACACAUGCAAGUCGAGCGGUAAGCCCCUUUCGGGGGUACACGAGCGGCGAACGGGUGAGUAACACGUGGGUGACCUGCCCUCAGCUCUGGGAUAAGCCUGGGAAACCGGGUCUAAUACCGGAUAUGACUCCAUGACGCAUGUUGUGGGGUGGAAAGCCUUGUGCGGCUGAGGAUGGGCCCGCGGCCUAUCAGCUUGUUGGUGGGGUGAUGGCCUACCAAGGCGACGACGGGUAGCCGGCCUGAGAGGGCGACCGGCCACACUGGGACUGAGACACGGCCCAGACUCCUACGGGAGGCAGCAGUGGGGAAUCUUGCGCAAUGGGCGAAAGCCUGACGCAGCGACGCCGCGUGAGGGAUGACGGCCU
RNAcentral lists this ribosomal RNA (388 nucleotides) under uncultured bacterium. RNAcentral describes it as "bacterial SSU rRNA". It matches the Rfam family "Bacterial small subunit ribosomal RNA", at positions 28 to 417 of the family's 1533-position model. The record is from RNAcentral.